UGCCAGCAGCCGCGGUAAUACAGAGGGUGCAAGCGUUAAUCGGAAUUACUGGGCGUAAAGCGUGCGUAGGCGGACUUACAAGUUGGAUGUGAAAGCCCUGGGCUCAACCUGGGAACUGCAUCCAAAACUGUAAAUCUAGAGUCGUGUAGAGGGAAGUGGAAUUUCCGGUGUAGCGGUGAAAUGCGUAGAUAUCGGAAGGAACACCAGUUGCGAAGGCGGCUUCCUGGACACAGACUGACGCUGAGGUACGAAAGCGUGGGUAGCAAACAGGAUUAGAUA
RNAcentral lists this ribosomal RNA (279 nucleotides) under uncultured bacterium. RNAcentral's name for it is "partial 16S ribosomal RNA". It matches the Rfam family "Bacterial small subunit ribosomal RNA", at positions 506 to 784 of the family's 1533-position model. The record is from RNAcentral.